UCAAUUCCUCCGCCCUAGUAGUCUUUUUGUAACAGCCUUCUUUCGGAGAGAAAAGCCCUAAAACUCUUGACUCUGGGGGGGAAAAACAUUACGGAAAAAUGAAAAUGAUGAAUUUCUGCGAAUAAUCAGGAAAUCUGAGUCUAAAAUCUCCCAAUACUGAGCUUUCUCGGGACGAAUUCAAGUUGAAAUCGGAUAGUUUCUAGGGUUUCAUUUUUUGUGUUUCUUCUGCAUGAUCCAUCAUUCCGAGGUCAGUCUUGCAUCGGCCUCAUUUUAUCUAAUUUGUUUGUUUUGCGAUUCCCUUUUGGACGGGAAGCUUUUUGAACAAAAGCCAAAUUGAUUUUGGAAUUAGUUUGUAUGGUGGGCGGCAGAUUCGUGGCAGGAGGUAUAGAAAUUAUAUAGGGAGACAGGGGAGGAGAAAGGAGAUAGGUCAGAAUUUAUAAUUUUUUAGUAUUUGCGUUGGAGGGUUUUUGACAUGCGAUUAACGCGGUCUGAAUCAGUUGGUAAGAGAAGGAAGGAUCAGAAACUCAGGAAUAAGUUUAAGGGUAAGAAAAAGCACAAGAGAUUAGACGCCAUUUGUGAAAAGGCUUACACUAGGAGCCAUAGAGGGGUUGAGAAGGUUGAAUCUGCUGACGUUAAUAAUGGAGGGAAUGAAUUGGAGCUCCGUAGAAGCAGUAGGACUCGUAGAGCUCCUGUGUUGCUGGAUUCUUCGCCUAUGCCACCCAAAAAGCGGCAGAAGAUUGAUAAGAAUGUGGCUUGUAGCGUUGAGAAAGUUAGGAGAAAGGAUGGGGUGCACUGCAAAACCCCUUGCUCAAGUUCAAGGGAUUUGGAUGGAUGCAAUGUUGGUUGGGUGUCGAGGUUGAGAUCUAGAGCAAAGUGUGCUGGUUUUUCUGAGAGGUGUAAGGGAGAGUCUUCAUUGAAGGGUAAGAGAAAGCUCUUUGAGGAUUCUGAUGGCUCUGGGGAUGAAAUGAAGCCUGAGAGUUGUGAUAAGAAAGAGAGUUUGGUGGGUGAGAAAUCAACAGUUGUUAGAUCAAAGAGGCCGGGAAGAAUUAAAGCUUCAAAUGGUUUGGCAAAUGAAAACCAGGAGAAGGAUUUGGGAGGUAGAGUGGAAGUUGGCAAAGAAAAGAAUACAAAUAAGUUGUUAGAAGAGAUGGGUGAGGUGGAUGGAUUGUGCUUGGAGUUUAAAUUGGAUUGCAGAAGUGAAGUUGGAGUAGACGAUUGCCAUGUGGCUUCAGAGUUGGCUGAGAGAGAGGAGACUGAAGUUCAAAGGGAUUCAGAUGUUGAAGGAUGCCAGAGCAAUGGCAAUGUGGAAGGAAGGAACGAGUCUGCGGAGCUGGAAAAAUUGGCAUGUGAUCUUGUACCUGAGCAAGAAUAUGUUGUUAAAGUUGACUGUGCUUCAUCUGAGCAAGAAAAUGUUGUUAAAGUUGACUGUGCUUCAUCUGAGCAAGAAAAUGUUGUUAAAGUUGACUGUGCUACAGCUGACCAAUCAAAAGAUGAGGCGCAUCCUGAUAAACCUCUUGGAGAUGAGACAUGUGAAAAAUCAAAAGGGAAAUACAAUACUUCUUUCGAUGCAGACAGCAAACCAAGAAUAAAGCUUGGAAGGCGCUGUGGUUUAUGUGGUGGUGGUACUGAUGGCAAGCCUCCAAAAAUACUUGUACUGGAAGGUGCCGGUAGUGAUAAUGAGGUAUAUAGUGGAUCAUCUGCUUCAGAGGAGCCUAACUAUGAUGUAUGGGAUGGAUUUGGUGAUCAAUCUGGAUGGCUUGGACGGCUUCUUGGUCCUAUUAAUGAUCGAUUUGGGAUAGCAGGAAUUUGGGUUCAUCAGCAAUGUGCUGUAUGGAGUCCAGAGGUUUAUUUUGCAGGACUGGGAUGCCUAAAAAAUGUUAGGGCUGCACUAUACCGUGGAAGGGUGCUGAAAUGCAGCCGCUGUAGGAGACCUGGAGCAACCAUAGGAUGUCGUGUUGAUCGAUGUCCAAAAACUUACCACCUACCAUGUGCACGAGCAAAAGGUUGCAUCUUUGAUCAUCGUAAAUUUCUUAUAGCAUGCACUGAUCAUCGGCGGCUAUUUCAACCACAUGGAAUACAGAAUGCACAGCGUUUGAAGAAAAUGAAAGCUAAAAAGUUGAAGUUGGAAUUACGCAAGAUGGCUAAUGAUGCAUGCCGUAAGGAUAUUGAAGCAGAAGAAAAAUGGUUAGAGAACUGUGGGGAGGAUGAGGAAUUUUUGAAACGUGAAAGUAAGAGGCUUCAUAGGGAUUUGUGGAGAAUUGCACCUACAUACAUUGGAGGUGAAAACUCAGAGGGCGAGAGACGAUUUCAGGGCUGGGAAUCUGUUGCUGGGCUGCAAGAUGUCAUUCGGUGCAUGAAAGAAGUGGUUAUUUUGCCACUCUUAUACCCUGAGUUUUUCAAUAAUCUAGGACUUACGCCUCCUAGGGGAGUUCUGUUGCAUGGAUAUCCUGGAACUGGCAAGACAUUGGUUGUGCGUGCACUAGUUGGUGCUUGUGCUCGUGGGGACAGGAGAAUAGCAUAUUUUGCACGCAAAGGUGCAGAUUGUCUUGGCAAGUAUGUUGGUGAUGCUGAGCGCCAGCUCAGACUUUUAUUUCAAGUUGCCGAGAAAUCCCAACCUUCUAUUAUUUUCUUUGAUGAGAUAGAUGGUUUGGCCCCAUGUCGCUCUAAGCAGCAAGAUCAAACGCAUAAUUCAGUUGUCUCCACGUUGCUUGCGUUGAUGGAUGGCCUAAAAUCUCGAGGUUCAGUUAUUGUAAUUGGAGCAACUAAUCGUCCUGACGCAGUUGAUCCAGCUCUAAGAAGACCUGGGAGGUUUGAUCGGGAGAUUUAUUUUCCUCUUCCUUCUGUUAAGGACAGAGAAGGGAUCCUCUCACUGCACACUCAGAAGUGGCCCAAGCCAAUAAGUGGGUCCCUAUUGAAGUGGGUAGCAAAGCAUACUGAGGGAUUUGCUGGUGCUGAUCUACAAGCUCUUUGUACUCAGGCGGCUAUAAUUGCUCUGAGGAGGAGCUUCCCCUUGCAAGAAGUUCUCUCAGCGGCUGAAACUAGUGCUGCAAACAGUAAAUGCCCAGCUAUUCCCGCAUUUGCAGUGGAAGAGAGAGAUUGGUUGAAGGCUCUCUCAUGUGCACCACCUCCAUGUUCUAGAAGAGAAAGUGGAAUUGCUCUGAAUGAAGUGGUCUCUUCACCUCUUAAAAUUCAUCUUCUUCCCUGUCUUCUGCAGCCACUAACAAGACUGCUGGUUUGCCUGUAUCUGGAUGAGCGCAUCUGGUUGCCAUCACAUCUUUACAGGGCUUCUAUAUUGGUGAAAAAUGUAAUUGUUUCUGCUUUAGAUAGCAGAAAAGUGCAAAGUGAUAAGUGGUGGUUGCACAUUAAUGGUUUGCUACAGGAAGUGGAUGUUACAAGUGAGAUUGAGAGGAAACUUUUGCUUGGAAAUAUUCUGGUUGAAGAGAGUGUCCCAUGCGGCUCUAUUGUCAUAGAGGAAUAUUCUGAUGAGGAUUGUUCAAAAAAUAUCCAUCACAAGUCUCAGUAUACGGGUGCUCGCCCUGGGUUGUUACAAACAAAGUCUACUGGAUCAUGUGAUAAACCAGGAUUUCAAUUGUUGAUUUGUGGAAGUCCGAGAUCUGGCCAGAGGCAUAUUGCUUCAUCUCUUCUCCACUGUUUCAUUGGCAAUAUUGAUGUAUGGAAAGUUGAUUUGGCUAGCAUCUCUCAUGAAGGACAUGGAGACAUGAUUCAUGGGCUAACACGGAUAUUGAUGAGAUGCACUGGUGCAAAUUCCUGCAUGCUAUAUUUGCCAACAAUUGAUUUGUGGGCUAUCGAGACAUGUGAUAAAGCCUCUGAAGAUGGCUGUGAAUCAUCUCCAAUGGAACCUCAGUCCCCUGGUAAGACAUCUUCUGGUGGGCGCUGGGAAGUUGACAUGGAAGAUGGACUAUAUCCAAGUGCUGAUGUAAUGGCAACACAGACUCAAACUGUAGUGAAGGUGGCCUCGUAUCUGUGGGCCUCUUUCAUUGAGCAGGUGGAGUCCAUGCGUGUGAAUUCCUCCUUGAUAAUUCUGGCUACGUCGGAAUUACCUUUUUCAUUGCUCCCUAAUAGAAUAAGGCAAUUUUUUGGGAAUGGGAUAUUGAGUUGCAGCCUCCCAAGGCCACUGAAUACUAAGGUGCCGCGGUUCUAUGUGCAGCUUGAUGCAAAAUUUAAUCAUGCCAAGGUGAUUACUUCUUUUGCUGCGAAGUUGUCAAAGGAUUUCGCGCAGCAUUUUGUUCUGUCACUUCAUGGUGGAAAUCAUUUUCAUGAAAACUCAGUUGAGGACAAAGCCUGUUAUGCUGUUGAAGGUGAUGCUGAUCGAGUUUGCCAUAAUAAAUCUUGCCAUGUCGGUCCGUCUAGUCCAGUUGGCUUUACAAAUAAAACUCUGAAAGGGAAACCAAACUUGCUGUUAGCAAUAUCAACAUUUGGGUAUCAGAUUCUUUGUUAUCCUCAUUUUGCUGAACUUUGUUGGGUCACAUCCAAGUUGAAAGAAGGUCCUUCUGCCAACACUGAUGGACCCUGGAAAGGUUGGCCCUUCAAUUCUUGCAUUGUCCGUCCUAUGAACUCAACAGAGAAGGUUGCCACUGCCUCUAGUUCUAGCAAUACCAAAACUAAAGAAUCUGGAUUAGUUAGAGGACUAGUUGCCGUUGGUUUAUCAGCAUACAGAGGUGAAUACACUUCUCUAAGGGAAGUAUGCUCUGAGGUUCGAAAAGUAUUGGAAACUCUGGUUGGACGAAUUGAUGAUAAAAUUCAAGCUGGGAAAGACAGAAGCCAGUUCGUUCGUCUUCUAUCACAAGUGGCUUAUCUUGAAGAUAUGGUUAUUAGUUGGGCGCAUGCAUUGCAAAGUUUGGAGGUGGAUACUCAUAUUUCAGAGGCAAACACCAAUACUUGUAUUGGAUCGUCUGACAAUCAUGUCCACAAGGACAGUACUUCUGAAUGUGACAAUGGAAUCAUACAGGGAUCAGAAGUGUUGGAAAAAAUGACUCAGGAAUUUGGUGCUAGAGAUGUUGGAUGUAAUCCAACAGAAGUUGAUAAUGGAUGUGCGGAUGCUGCUAACAAAGUUGCAGUAACAAUAGAAGAGCCUUCCCAUCAAGUUGUCUCCGCUGAUUGUUGCUCUCCUGAACACGUGUUAGCACCAACUGAGGUGAAGUUAGAGUCAUCUAAGGCUGAAGCCAUUGGAGAUAAUGCAGAAACGGGUCAUGUAUCUGUCAAACAUUGCAAUGGUUUCCUGGAGAGUAUUUCUGAUUUGGAGGCAGGCGGUCCCCAUGGUUCAGGUGAUAAGCCUGUUAUUGAGCUUUCUUCUGCUGCUGAAAUUUCUAGCCCGCCUAAUGGUCCGCCCUUGAUUGAUGAUGAAAUCCUGUCCAAAGAUACUGGUGAAAACUCAGGUGCAAAUAUUCUUGAUAUCAACAAUGCAUCAGAUCCUGGCAGUCUUAAAGGUGGUCCUGCUGUUACGUGCUUUUACCAGUGUUGUUCAGAAUGCAUUAUCAACCUCCACAAUUUACUGUUGAGAAUUAUAAAUAUCGAGUGGGGAAAGAAAGGAACUGACUCAACCGUAGAGGAUUUGAAUGAUUUUCUUUCCUCCUUGUCAGCAAAUCUUAUUUUGUUGCUUAGUAAAUUUCUCCAAUGUGAAAACCCCUCGGCUAUAAUAUGGGAAGAAGGUGACAACUAUAGAAAAUACUGUGAGUGUCGGGAUUUUCAGGUAACAGACACGCCUGAAUGUAAAAAUGCAGACAAAUUGUUGAUAAUGGAAUGUGGUUGUCAUGCAACGAGCAAGGGUACAACCAGCAAAGAAAAUCGUCCUGGGAUUUCUCAAGGGCUUAAUUCUAGGUUUGUUUUCAAGGAUGGUGUACUGGCUACUUUAGACACAGGUACUGAUGUUUCUUAUCAUUGUAAAUUUGAGAAUUUAUGCCUUUGUUUUCUUAUAGAAUGGUUGGUAACGAGCAAGAAGUCUUUUGAUUGAUACCAUGUUUAUAGCUUCAACACAUGUUGGUUUCCGCAAAUUUUGAUGCACUUGCGGAGUAUAGACGUCGAACUACACAGUGGGUGUUUUGGUUUCCAGCAGCCUAGCUAGCCUCUUGGAGAUCUAUUGGAAUGUUUGGAUUCCCUAAUGUUAAUAUCCUGAGAUUCUCAUAACUCGGUCAAUCCAUCUAAAACCGCAAAGCACACAAACGGCAACUUGGUUUUUUGUUUGUCUUUUUCUUUUUUGUUGAUAAAUUGUGAUAUUUAUAUAUAUAUAUUUGGAUGGUUAUAGAUCCUGUGCAGGUCCUAUUAUGAAUAUAGUCAUGUCAUGAGUCAAAUCUCACAUCUGAUAGGGAUGCUCUCACCAAUUUAUUAUUGCAGUCUAUAU
RNA transcript from Sesamum indicum (sesame), 6358 nucleotides. It is a transcript of the gene named P-loop containing nucleoside triphosphate hydrolases superfamily protein, with no coding region annotated. The record is from RefSeq and is a predicted model, not a curated record. Lineage: Eukaryota; Viridiplantae; Streptophyta; Magnoliopsida; Lamiales; Pedaliaceae.